UGGGGAAUAUUGCACAAUGGAGGGAACUCUGAUGCAGCGACGCCGCGUGAGUGAUGAAGGAAUUCGUUUCGGAAAACUCUGUUCUAUGGGAAGAAAAGGACGGUACCAUAGGAGAAAGCUCCGGCUAAAUACGUGCCAGCAGCCGCGGUAAUACGUAUGGAGCGAGCGUUGUCCGGAAUUAUUGGGCGUAAAGGGUGCGCAGGCGGCUUUACAAGUUGGAUGUGAAAUAUUGUGGCUCAACCACAAACGUGCAUCCAAAACUGCAAAGCUUGAGUUAAGGAGAGGUAAGUGGAAUUCCUGGUGUAGCGGUGGAAUGCGUAGAUAUCAGGAGGAAUACCGGUGGCGAAGGCGACUUACUGGACUUAAACUGACGCUCAGGCACGAAAGCGUGGGGAGCAAACAGG
Molecule: ribosomal RNA, 404 nt
Filed under: Fusobacteriota bacterium
Lineage: Bacteria; Fusobacteriati; Fusobacteriota
Description: Fusobacteria bacterium partial 16S ribosomal RNA
Rfam family: Bacterial small subunit ribosomal RNA
Source: RNAcentral